AAACUUCUUCCUCUAUUCAUCAUCAUUCCUAAAUACGGACACAAGGUUGGAGGUGCAACUUGACACAUUGUUUUAUCUCUUGGUUUUAUGCCUUGCCAUUUUCCCAUCCUGGAAUUAAAAUAAAAAUCUCACUUUUUGCCACCUAAUUCACAUACUUGUCUCUUCUCUAGAAGUUCAGUGUCAACAAACUGCUUUCUAGCACUCAUUCACAUAUCUCUUCUUCUUUCUUUUUAAGCUUUAUCCUAACUUUAACCAAGAAUGGCUAUAAAGAAAGGUGUGGAUGUGCCUUUACAAAAUGGAAGAAUGAAGGAGCACCAGUCCUCUAGCUUAGAGCAGGAUGGGAUCACCACCCUUGGAUCAAACAGGCCUAGAAAAACUGGGAGGCCUAGUGAUGCCUCAGCAUUCAUGAUGAGACAAUGACACACCCCAUGGGUCACAGGGUAAGUUUACACUCUUCCCAUUUAUGAUUCUUAAUUCUGACAGUCAGAAGGUGCCCUUGCCUCUAGACCUCUCCCACAACUAGAUCAUCUGCUCUGUUCUAUGCUGACCAUCCCUCUCUAAAUAUCCUCUGUCUGAUCCUAACUAUGCCUCUGCUUAAUCCAUAC
RNAcentral lists this long non-coding RNA (605 nucleotides) under Cricetulus griseus (Chinese hamster). Its description in RNAcentral is "lncRNA (ENSCGRG00015032050.1)". Lineage: Eukaryota; Metazoa; Chordata; Mammalia; Rodentia; Cricetidae. The record is from RNAcentral.